AGAGUUUGAUCCUGGCUCAGGAUGAACGCUGGCGGCGUGCUUAACACAUGCAAGUCGAACGAGCCUUCGGGCUAGUGGCGGACGGGUGAGUAACGCGUGGGAAUCUGCCCUCAGGAGGGGGAUAACGGCCGGAAACGGCCGCUAAUACCCCAUAUGCCGAGAGGUGAAAUGAAUUUCGCCUGAGGAUGAGCCCGCGUCUGAUUAGCUAGUUGGUGGGGUAAUGGCCCACCAAGGCGACGAUCAGUAGCUGGUCUGAGAGGAUGAUCAGCCACACUGGGACUGAGACACGGCCCAGACUCCUACGGGAGGCAGCAGUGGGGAAUUUUCCGCAAUGGGCGAAAGCCUGACGGAGCAACGCCGCGUGAGGGAUGAAGGCCUCUGGGCUGUAAACCUCUUUUCUCAAGGAAGAAGACAUGACGGUACUUGAGGAAUAAGCCACGGCUAAUUCCGUGCCAGCAGCCGCGGUAAUACGGGAGUGGCAAGCGUUAUCCGGAAUUAUUGGGCGUAAAGCGUCCGCAGGCGGCCUUGUAAGUCUGUCGUUAAAGCGUGGAGCUUAACUCCAUUUCAGCGAUGGAAACUACAAGGCUUGAGUGUGGUAGGGGCAGAGGGAAUUCCCGGUGUAGCGGUGAAAUGCGUAGAUAUCGGGAAGAACACCAGUGGCGAAGGCGCUCUGCUGGGCCAUAACUGACGCUCAUGGACGAAAGCCAGGGGAGCGAAAGGGAUUAGAUACCCCUGUAGUCCUGGCCGUAAACGAUGAACACUAGGUGUCGGGGGAAUCGACCCCCUCGGUGUCGUAGCUAACGCGUUAAGUGUUCCGCCUGGGGAGUACGCACGCAAGUGUGAAACUCAAAGGAAUUGACGGGGGCCCGCACAAGCGGUGGAGUAUGUGGUUUAAUUCGAUGCAACGCGAAGAACCUUACCAGGGUUUGACAUCCUGCGAAUCCCUUGGAAACGAGGGAGUGCCUUCGGGAGCGCAGAGACAGGUGGUGCAUGGCUGUCGUCAGCUCGUGUCGUGAGAUGUUGGGUUAAGUCCCGCAACGAGCGCAACCCACGUCUUUAGUUGCCAGCAUUCAGUUGGGCACUCUAGAGAGACCGCCGGUGAUAAACCGGAGGAAGGUGUGGAUGACGUCAAGUCAUCAUGCCCCUUACAUCCUGGGCUACACACGUACUACAAUGCUACGGACAAAGGGUUGCAAGCUCGCGAGAGUUAGCUAAUCCCAUAAACCGUGGCUCAGUUCAGAUCGUAGGCUGCAACUCGCCUACGUGAAGGAGGAAUCGCUAGUAAUCGCAGGUCAGCAUACUGCGGUGAAUACGUUCCCGGGCCUUGUACACACCGCCCGUCACACCAUGGAAGUUGGCCAUGCCCGAAGUCGUUACUCCAACCCUUGUGGAGGAGGACGCCG
This 1403-nucleotide ribosomal RNA is filed under the name Synechococcus sp. B9801. RNAcentral describes it as "16S ribosomal RNA". It matches the Rfam family "Bacterial small subunit ribosomal RNA". The record is from RNAcentral. Lineage: Bacteria; Bacillati; Cyanobacteriota; Cyanophyceae; Synechococcales; Synechococcaceae.